GACGAACGCUGGCGGCGUGCUUAAUACAUGCAAGUCGAACGGAAAGGCCCUGCUCUUGCGGGGUGCUCGAGUGUCGAACAGGUGAGUAACACGUGAGUAACCUGUCCUUGACUUUGGGAUAACUUCAGGAAACUGGGGCUAAUAUCGGGCAGGAGCUCCUGCUGCAUGGUGGGGGUUGGUAAGAUUUGGCGGUUGGGGAUGGACUCGUGGCUCAUCAGCUUGUUGGCGGGGUAGUGGCUUACCAAGGCUUUGACGAGUAGCCGGCCUGCGAGGGUGACCGGCCACAUAGGGACUGAGAUGCCGCCCAGACUGCUACGGGAGGCAGCAGUGCGGAAUAGUGCAAGAUGGGCGGCAGGCGGAUGCAGCAUCGCCGCGUGGUGGAUCACGGCUGUCGGCUUGUAACCCGCUUUCGCGUGUGACGAAGAGUGAGUGACGGUAAUGGGUAAAGAAGCACCGGCUAACUACGUG
Molecule: ribosomal RNA, 468 nt
Filed under: uncultured bacterium
Lineage: Bacteria
Description: partial 16S ribosomal RNA
Rfam family: Bacterial small subunit ribosomal RNA
Source: RNAcentral